RNAcentral lists this ribosomal RNA (253 nucleotides) under uncultured bacterium. RNAcentral describes it as "partial 16S ribosomal RNA". It matches the Rfam family "Bacterial small subunit ribosomal RNA", at positions 524 to 776 of the family's 1533-position model. The record is from RNAcentral.
UACAGAGGGUGCGAGCGUUAAUCGGAAUUACUGGGCGUAAAGCGCGCGUAGGCGGCUUUGCAAGCCGGAUAUGAAAUCCCCGGGCUUAACCUGGGAACUGCAUUCGGGACUGCAUUGCUAGAGUAUGGGAGAGGAAAGCGGAAUUUCUGGUGUAGCAGUGAAAUGCGUAGAUAUCAGAAGGAACAUCAGUGGCGAAGGCGGCUUUCUGGACCAAUACUGACGAUCAGGUGCGAAAGCGUGGGGAGCAAACAGG